GCUGGGUGUGGUGGUGUGUGCCUAUAGUCUCAGCUACUCAGGAGGCUGAGGCUGGAGGAUCACUUGAGUCCAGGAGUUCUGGGCUGUAGUGCGCUAUGCCGAUCCGGUGUCCACACUAAGUUCAGCAUCAAUAUGGUGACCUCCUGGGAGCGGGGGACCACCAGGUUGCCUAAGGAGGGGUGAACCAGCCCAGGUCGGAAAUGGAUUAGGUCAAAAUUCCCAUGCUGAUCAGUAGUGGGAUCAUGCCUGUGAAUAGCCACUGCACUCCAGCCUGAUCCCAUUUCUU
This 286-nucleotide signal recognition particle RNA is filed under the name Saimiri boliviensis boliviensis (Bolivian squirrel monkey). RNAcentral's name for it is "Metazoan signal recognition particle RNA (ENSSBOG00000003769.1)". It matches the Rfam family "Metazoan signal recognition particle RNA". Rfam says of the family: The signal recognition particle (SRP) is a universally conserved ribonucleoprotein. It is involved in the co-translational targeting of proteins to membranes. The eukaryotic SRP consists of a 300-nucleotide 7S RNA and six proteins: SRPs 72, 68, 54, 19, 14, and 9. Lineage: Eukaryota; Metazoa; Chordata; Mammalia; Primates; Cebidae. The record is from Rfam by way of RNAcentral.